UUGUUCUGUCAUGUGGUAAUUUCGCAGUCAGUGGUUCGUAGUUUCAUAUGCGUGUCAAAAAAGUUAUUGUGAGGAACGGUAGAAUAGCUAAUUCAAUAAUACUGUCAAGAACUAACCGCGCGACCCUUAAUACCAUAAUCGAGGUUGCAGGCAUUCCGAUUUCCAUGUUGAACCAAUUACAUAGCAGUUCCCAUGACGUUCUAUAAUCGCACGUUCGUUAUCAAGGGAGUGUCAGUAUUCAUUUUUCUGCUCAUUCUCCUGUUCAAUUUAAAAUUGGAUCUUCGUUUCCAAACGGAACGUGUUGGCUCUACCCUUUUGGC
Anopheles darlingi is the source of this 320-nucleotide long non-coding RNA. RefSeq lists it as uncharacterized. The transcript has 3 exons. The record is from RefSeq and is a predicted model, not a curated record. NCBI's taxonomy places the organism in Eukaryota, Metazoa, Arthropoda, Insecta, Diptera, Culicidae.